GAUGAACGCUGGCGGCGUGCCUAAUACAUGCAAGUCGAGCGAACAGACGAGGAGCUUGCUCCUCUGACGUUAGCGGCGGACGGGUGAGUAACACGUGGAUAACCUACCUAUAAGACUGGGAUAACUUCGGGAAACCGGAGCUAAUACCGGAUAAUAUAUUGAACCGCAUGGUUCAAUAGUGAAAGACGGUUUUGCUGUCACUUAUAGAUGGAUUCGCGCCGCAUUAGCUAGUUGGUAAGGUAACGGCUUACCAAGGCAACGAUGCGUAGCCGACCUGAGAGGGUGGUCGGCCACACUGGAACUGAGACACGGUCCAGACUCCUACGGGAGGCAGCAGUAGGGAAUCUUCCGCAAUGGGCGAAAGCUUGACGGAGCAACGCCGCGUGAGUGAUGAAGGUCUUCGGAUCGUAAAACUCUGUUAUUAGGGAAGAACAAAUGUGUAAGUAACUAUGCACGUCUUGACGGUACCUAAUCAGAAAGCCACGGCUAACUACGUG
Molecule: ribosomal RNA, 497 nt
Filed under: uncultured bacterium
Lineage: Bacteria
Description: partial 16S ribosomal RNA
Rfam family: Bacterial small subunit ribosomal RNA
Source: RNAcentral